GCAAUCAUCACCGGUCAUAAUGUUUGAAUCAAUAAUGUUGAUCUCCUCCGACCGUCCAAUGUGAAUUCCAUCCGUGUUGGGACUAUGCCCCGGCGCUUUCACCGAAAAUCGCUGGAAGGUAAGGUUUUUGCUGCCGAGGAGAUUGACGUGGAACUGCUUGCUAUCUAUGGAUGUCACGUCCUCGACUAUGCUGUUGGUGACGAAGUCAAACGUUAGGUUCUGAUACAGUUUUGAUAGAACAGUUACGCAGAGAAAACGUAGUUAGUAUUAUUGCCAUGAACGGGCCUAUGAAUGACCGUUAGUAAAGUAGCGUUCGGAUUUUCUUACAACUGGAAGUGCUUUCUUGCAUCCGCCGCCACAGCUCUUCCGCUGCCAAGCAAUUUCUCCUUGUCCGUCGAAGGCCCCACCACCGGAUACCGUUAAUCGGUCCAUGUAUCUCAAUGUAACCCACCUAUUCUUGCGGUGCUGGCUAGCUUUUUCUGGCGCCACCAACGUUCCUUCCACUUGAAGAUGCAUGGCACCCUUGCAAGUGCCUAACAAAUCCACCACGCCUAAUGAGUACUUCCCUUUUGGUAUCACGACUUUGCCGGAACCCGCUGCUGCACAAGCCCCCUUCCACGCACUCAGUAAAGUCUAAAAACGAAAAUGGCAAUGAAAGACCUGACAGCAAUAAUCUAGGAAAUACCGUCGCGAUAUCGAGAACCGAGUUUACUUUCAUACCUUAGUGAUAUCCGACCCCUCCUUCGCACCAUAUUUUGAGACAUCAAAGGUAUUGGGCUGAGCUCCGCUGGUAAAGGCGAACAGUAACACCAAAUAUGCUGCGCACACAUGUACCUUGGACCCCAUAUCUCUCUUUUCAAGGCGCUUCCUCUCUUUCGAUAUCUACAGCCUAUAUUGAUUUCUAAAUGUUUGUGCAUUUAUCCUCCUCUGUAAGGCCUUUUAUAUUUCAGGCGGCUCGUUUAAUUUACUCAAGGUUUAUUACAGGCUGUAGCAUUUUCAUACAUCUCGUUUUCCUUUUUGUUGUGCUUUAAAUGUUUUGAGCUUAAAAAAAAAAAAGCCUACGUACGCUAACCUGCAACUAAAAACUACAACUUCCGCAUUUCUCUCUAACAUAUUCUUUUAUAUUGGAACCCUUUAUAACUUAUGCAACAACCUCUUCGUUCUCCCACAAUAUUCUGGACGUAUUGGACGCGAAACGAGCCCGGAGACCGCACCCGCAAUUCAUUUCCUCACGCGUGCAUGUAGGACAAAAUUUUGACAAGUACAGUGCAACAUGAAAAGAGGAAAACAGAAAAAGAAAAAAAGAACUAACAGGCCGUUAUUCCGUCUUUUCUCCUUUGGUACCUGACGGCGCAUCGUAUUAUUUUACGUGUACUUAAUUUUAGCGUCGAAAAUAUACUCAGCUUCGAUUUUAAUUAUUUAUUUAUAAUGGAACGCAAAUAUAAAAAAGAAAAAAAAAAGAAAAGGAAAAGAAAGAAAGAAAUUCACAAUAAUAAUCUCCGAACAUCUUAAUAUGAGACUUCAUCUCUUCACAACAGGAUAUAUGUAUAUAUAUUUCUCCUUUUUCCCGAAACAAAUAAAUACUUCUUGAAUAAAUGAAUAAAGAAUUGAAAAAAGAAUUAGCACAGUUACAUAGCCGAUCACGGAUAAAUGGUUUAUUAGGAAAAUAAAUUAUGCUAGAAAAGCGAAAGGAUAAAUAUUUAGAACAACCUGAUAUAUAUUUUUGAACAGCAUUAUUUUAAUUGAAAAGGAAAAUGAAUUUUGAAUUAUAAUGCUAAGCCCAUGACUACAGGAAAAUAAAUUCCAUUAUAUCAAAUUUAUUAAUUUCAAAUUAUAGCGUUUCAAUUAAAAAGUAUCAUCUUGAACUUUGAUAUAGUUGAAUUUUAACACCGCAACAUAAUUUACAGCGCGUUUUAAUUUUGAAUUUUGACACUAUUAAAUUACUAAGUUCAUUCAAUAAUAUAUCUUUUAUUAUUUCAUCUUGCAUUCCAAGUUUUAUAUGUUGAUUAACUUUUCAAAUAGAAAUAGAGGACUUAAAGAAGUAUUUAUAUAGUAUUUAAUAUCAAUUGAUUUUCUUUUAAUAUAUCUUUUAAUAUCAAUUGAUAUAUUCAGUAAUUGGUGAGCUUUUAUAUUUGUUUAAGUAAAAUGAAGCACAUUGUUUAAUAGGUAAAUUUUUUACAUUGAUUUUCUAUUUUGGAUAGAGCUAAAUUGAAAUCAUAUCUGACAAUGUUCAUUUAAACUUAAAAAGCGUAAUGAUAGUCUUGUAAAAUUACUAUACUGUGCGUCAGACAAAUGAGAAUCAUUCUCCGUUUCAAUUAAGAAUCAACAAGUGAGUGCAUUAACAUCCUCUCGGAAUCAAUUUUCCUAUAAUCUUAGGCUUAACAUUUGUACAAAUAGAUUUUGCAGGACCCUUAGAUCCGGUGUACUGGAGGUUAACGUUAGAAAGUUCAACGUUCUUGCAUGGUACGCUGCUGCUGCAUGUCAAUUGAACGGCUGUGGGCGUUCUUGACGAUCCUCGUAUAUUCUUGAAGAUGACGUCGCUUAUUUUAACUUUUGAUGGCAUCUGCAAAAAGUCGCAAUAUUUUAGCAUAAUUGUAACACACCCAUAUUUAUAAAUUCUCCUUAUUGUUGUGAAAAAAUAAAAAUUGAAAAGUUACCUUGCGAUUGCAUUCGUUAUGCGGGCAGUACAUUUGAUCUAUAAUGAUGGGAUUGCUGACGUUUUGCAUGACGAUAUCCUCGAACUGGACAUUCGACACACUGCCACCAUGCAAUGCGGGCCAAGUCUUAAUUCUCACACCAUUGUCGUUGUCGUAUAUUGUCCAAUUCUUCACAUAAAUUCCAGACACAGGUUCUUCCUUCUCGUACUUUCCUAAACUUCCAAUACUAAUGCCAUGCCCGUGUCCGCACCUUACGUUUGUGAUUCGUACUUGCCUGCUCCCCCGGCCAAUGGAGAUGCAAUCAUCACCGGUCAUAAUGUUUGAAUCAAUAAUGUUGAUCUCCUCCGACCGUCCAAUGUGAAUUCCAUCCGUGUUGGGACUAUGCCCCGGCGCUUUCACCGAAAAUCGCUGGAAGGUAAGGUUUUUGCUGCCGAGGAGAUUGACGUGGAACUGCUUGCUAUCUAUGGAUGUCACGUCCUCGACUAUGCUGUUAGUGACGAAGUCAAACCUUAGGUUCUGAUACAGUUUUGAUAGAACAGUUACGCAGAGAAAACGUAGUUAGUAUUACUGCCAUGAACGGGCCUAUGAAUGACCGUUAGUAAAGUAGCGUUUGGAUUUUCUUACAACUGGAAGUGCUUUCUUGCAUCCGCCGCCACAGCUCUUCCGCUGCCAAGCAAUUUCUCCUUGUCCGUCGAAGGCCCCACCACUGGAUACCGUUAAUCGGUCCAUGUAUCUCAAUGUAACCCAGCUAUUCUUGCGGUGCUAGCUAGCUUUUGCUGGCGCCACCAACGUUCCUUCCACUUGAAGAUGCAUGGCACCCUUGCAAGGGCCUAGCAAAUCCACCACGCCUAACGAGUACUUCCCUUUUGGUAUCACGACUUUGCCGGAACCCACUGCUCCACAAGCCCCCUUCCACGCACUCAGUAAAGCCUAAAAACGAAAACGGCAAUGAAAGACCUGACAGCAAUAAUCUAGGAAAUACAGUCGCGAUAUCGAGAACCGAGUUUACUUUCAUACCUUAGUGAUAUCCGACCCCUCCUUCACACCAUAUUUUGUGACAUCAAAGGUAUUGGGCUGAGCUCCGCUGGUAAAGGCAAACAGUAACACCAAAUAUGCUGCGCACACAUGUACCUUGGAACCCAUAUCUCUCUUUUCAAGGCGCUUCGUCUCUUUCGAUAUCUACAGCCUAUAUUGAUUUCUAAAUGUUUGUGCAUUUCUCCUCCUCUGUAAGGCCUUUUAUAUUUCAGGCGGCUCGUUUAAUUUACUCAAGGUUUAUUACAGGCUGUAGCAUUUUCAUACAUCCCGUUUUCUGUUUUUCCUUUUUGUUUUGCGUUAAAUGUUUUGAGCUUAAAAAAAAAAGCCUACGUACGCUAACCUGCAACUAAAAACUACAACUUCCGCAUUUCUCUCUAACAUAUUCUUUUAUAUUGGAACCCUUUAUAACUUAUGCAACAAUCUCUUCGUUCUCCCACAAUAUUCUGGACGUAUUGGACGCGAAACGAGCCCGGAGACCGCACCCGCAAUUCAUUUCCUCACGCGUGCAUGUAGAACAAAAUUUUGACAAGUACAGUGCAACAUGAAAAGAGGAAAACAGAAAAAUAAAAAAAGAACUAACAGGCCGUUAUUCCGUCUUUUCUCCUUUGGUACCUGAAGGCGCAUCGUAUUAUUUUACGUGUACUUGAUUUUAGCGUCGAAAAUAUGCUCAGCUUCGAUUUUAAUUAUUUAUUUAUAAUGGAACGCAAAUAUAAAAAAGAAAAAAAAAGAAAAGGAAAAGAAAGAAAGAAAUUCACAAUAAUAAGAACAUCUUAAUAUGAGACUUCAUCUCUUCACAAUGGGAUAUAUGUAUAUAUAUUUCUCCUUUUUUCCGAAACAAAUAAAUACUUCUUGAAUAAAUGAAUAAAGAAUUGAAAAAAGAAUCAGCACAGUUACAUAGCCGAUCACGGAUAAAUGGUUUAUUAGGAAAAUAAAUUAUGCUAGAAAAGCGAAAGGAUAAAUAUUUAGAACAACCUGAUAUAUAUUUUUGAACAGCAUUAUUUUAAUUGAAAAGGAAAAUGAAUUUUGAAUUAUAAUGCUAAGCCUAUGACUACAGGAAAAUAAAUUUUAUUAUAUCAAAUUUAUUAAUUUCAAAUUAUAGCGUUUCAAUUAAAAAUAUCAUCUUGAACUUUGAUAUAGUUGAAUUUUAACACCGCAACAUAAUUUACAGCGCGUUUUAAUUUUGAAUUUUGACACUAUUAAAUUACUAAGUUCAUUCAAUAAUAUAUCUUUUAUUAUUUCAUCUUGCAUUCCAAGUUUUAUAUGUUGAUUAACUUUUCAAAUAGAAAUAGAGGACUUAAAGAAGUAUUUAUAUAGUAUUUAAUAUCAAUUGAUUUUCUUUUAAUAUAUCUUUUAAUAUCAAUUGAUAUAUUCAGUAAUUGGUGAGCUUUUAUAUUUGUUUAAGUAAAAUGAAGCACAUUGUUUAAUAGGUAAAUUUUUUAAAUUGAUUUUCUAUUUUGGAUAGAGCUAAAUUGAAAUCAUAUCUGACUAUGUUCAUUUAAAUUUAAAAAGUGUAAUGAUAGUCUUGUAAAAUUACUAUACUGUGCGUCAGACAAAUGAGAAACAUUCUCCGUUUAAAUUAAGAAUCAAAAGUGAGUGCAUUAACAUCCUCUCGGAAUCAACUUUCCUAUAAUCUUAGGCUUAACAUUUGUACAAAUAGAUUUUGCAGGACCCUUAGAUCCGGUGUACUGGAGGUUAACGUUAGAAAGUUCAACGUUCAUGCAUGGUACGCUGCUGCUGCAUGUCAAUUGAACGGCUGUGGGCGUUCUUGACGAUCCUCGAAUAUUCUUGAAAAUGACGUCGCUUAUUUUAACUUUUGAUGGCAUCUGCAAAAAGUCGCAAUAUUUUAGCAUAAUUGUAACACACCCAUAUAUAUAAAUUCUCCUUCUUGUUAUGAAAAAAUAAAAAUUGAGAAGUUACCUUGCGAUUGCAUUCGUUAUGCGGGCAGUACAUUUGAUCUAUAAUGAUGGGAUUGCUGACGUUUUGCAUGACGAUAUCCUCGAACUGGAUAUUCGACACACUGCCACCAUGCAAUGCGGGCCAAGUCUUAAUUCUCACGCCAUUGUCGGUGUCGUAUAUUGUGCAAUUCUUCACAUAAAUUCCAGACACAGGUUCUUCCUUCUCGUACUUUCCUAAACUUCCAAUACUAAUGCCAUGCCCGUGUCCGCACCUUACGUUUGUGAUUCGUACUCGCCUGCUCCCCCGGCCAAUGGAGAUGCAAUCAUCACCGGUGAUAAUGUUUGAAUUAAUAAUGUUGAUCUCCUCCGACCGUUUAAUGUGAAUUCCAUCCGUGUUGGGACUAUGCCCCGGCGCUUUCACCGAAAAUCGCUGGAACGUAAGGUUUUUGCUGCCGAGGAGAUUGACGUGGAACUGCUUGCUAUCUAUGGAUGUCACGUCCUCGACUAUGCUGUUGGUGACG
RNAcentral lists this long non-coding RNA (6108 nucleotides) under Manihot esculenta (cassava). RNAcentral's name for it is "long non-coding RNA (MESC_LNC012047)". Lineage: Eukaryota; Viridiplantae; Streptophyta; Magnoliopsida; Malpighiales; Euphorbiaceae. The record is from RNAcentral.